AACAGGAUUAGAUACCCUGGUAGUCCACGCCGUAAACGAUGUCGACUUGGAGGUUGUGCCCUUGAGGCGUGGCUUCCGGAGCUAACGCGUUAAGUCGACCGCCUGGGGAGUACGGCCGCAAGGUUAAAACUCAAAUGAAUUGACGGGGGCCCGCACAAGCGGUGGAGCAUGUGGUUUAAUUCGAUGCAACGCGAAGAACCUUACCUACUCUCGACAUCCAGAGAACUUAGCAGAGAUGCUUUGGUGCCUUCGGGAACUCUGAGACAGGUGCUGCAUGGCUGUCGUCAGCUCGUGUUGUGAAAUGUUGGGUUAAGUCCCGCAACGAGCGCAACCCUUAUCCUUUGUUGCCAGCGGUUCGGCCGGGAACUCAAAGGAGACUGCCAGUGAUAAACUGGAGGAAGGUGGGGAUGACGUCAAGUCAUCAUGGCCCUUACGAGUAGGGCUACACACGUGCUACAAUGGCAUAUACAAAGAGAAGCGACCUCGCGAGAGCAAGCGGACCUCAUAAAGUAUGUCGUAGUCCGGAUUGGAGUCUGCAACUCGACUCCAUGAAGUCGGAAUCGCUAGUAAUCGUGGAUCAGAAUGCCACGGUGAAUACGUUCCCGGGCCUUGUACACACCGCCCGUCACACCAUGGGAGUGGGUUGCAAAAGAAGUAGGUAGCUUAACCUUCGGGAGGGCGCUUACCACUUUGUGAUUCAUGACUGGGGUGAAGUCGUAACAAGGUAACC
RNAcentral lists this ribosomal RNA (730 nucleotides) under uncultured bacterium. RNAcentral's name for it is "bacterial SSU rRNA". It matches the Rfam family "Bacterial small subunit ribosomal RNA", at positions 771 to 1501 of the family's 1533-position model. The record is from RNAcentral.